AAUUACUGGGCGUAAAGGGCGUCUAGGCGGCCAAUCAAGUCAACGUUGAAAGCCCUUGGCUAAACUGAGGGAUGUACGUCGAAACUGAUUGGCUCGAGGAACGUAGAGGAAGGCGGAACUCUCGGAGUAGCGGUGAAAUGCGUAGAGACCGAGAGGUACCCCGAUGGUGAAGACAGCCUUCUGGGCGUUUCCUGACGCUGAAGCGCUAAGGCCAGGGGAGCGAAGGGGAUUAGAUACCCCCGUAGUCCUGGCUUCAAACGAUGUGGGCUUGGUGUCGGCUCCCGACAGAGAGUCGUUGCCGGAGUUAACGCGUUAAGCCCACCGCCUGGGGAUUACGUCCGCAAGGAUGAACCUCAAGGGAAUUGACGGGGGCCCACACAACCGGUGGAGCACGUGGUUUAAUUCGAUGAUAAGCGAAGAACCUUACCAGGGCUUGACCUAGCGGUAGUAGGACCCUGAAAGGGGAACGACCUCAAGCUUUGCUUGAGGAGCCGUGGCAGGUAUUGCAUGGCCGUCGUCAGCUCGUGUCGUGGGACGUUGGGUUAAGUCCCGUAACGAGCGCAACCCCUGCCCUUAAUUGCCAGCGGGUAAUGCCGGGGACUAUAAGGGGACUGCC
RNAcentral lists this ribosomal RNA (616 nucleotides) under uncultured KB1 group bacterium. RNAcentral's name for it is "bacterial SSU rRNA". It matches the Rfam family "Bacterial small subunit ribosomal RNA", at positions 549 to 1153 of the family's 1533-position model. The record is from RNAcentral. Lineage: Bacteria; Candidatus Calescibacteriota.